GCGCCCUUAGCUCAGCUGGUAGAGCAACUGACUCUUAAUCAGUGGGUCUAGGGUUCGAAUCCCUAAGGGCGCACGA
This 76-nucleotide transfer RNA is filed under the name Hallella multisaccharivorax DSM 17128. Its description in RNAcentral is "Prevotella multisaccharivorax DSM 17128 tRNA-Lys". It matches the Rfam family "tRNA". Rfam says of the family: Transfer RNA (tRNA) molecules are approximately 80 nucleotides in length. Their secondary structure includes four short double-helical elements and three loops (D, anti-codon, and T loops). Further hydrogen bonds mediate the characteristic L-shaped molecular structure. tRNAs have two regions of fundamental functional importance: the anti-codon, which is responsible for specific mRNA codon recognition, and the 3' end, to which the tRNAs corresponding amino acid is attached (by aminoacyl-tRNA synthetases). tRNAs cope with the degeneracy of the genetic code in two manners: having more than one tRNA (with a specific anti-codon) for a particular amino acid; and 'wobble' base-pairing, i.e. permitting non-standard base-pairing at the 3rd anti-codon position. Lineage: Bacteria; Pseudomonadati; Bacteroidota; Bacteroidia; Bacteroidales; Prevotellaceae. The record is from RNAcentral.